UUUUUCUGUUUUCUGGCAUUG
Non-coding RNA from Caenorhabditis elegans, 21 nucleotides. NCBI's taxonomy places the organism in Eukaryota, Metazoa, Nematoda, Chromadorea, Rhabditida, Rhabditidae. The record is from Ensembl.